UACGUAGGGGGCAAGCGUUGUCCGGAUUCAUUGGGCAUAAAGAGCGUGUAGGCGGCCAGGUAGGUCGGUUGUGAAAACUGGAGGCUCAACCUUCAGAGGUCGACCGAGACCAUCUGGCUAGAGUCCGGGAGAGGAGAGUGGAAUUCCUGGUGUAGCGGUGAAAUGCGCAGAUAUCAGGAAGAACACCCGUGGCGAAAGCGGCUCUCUGGAACGGUACUGACGCUGAGACGCGAAAGCGUGGGGAGCGAACAGG
Molecule: ribosomal RNA, 253 nt
Filed under: uncultured bacterium
Lineage: Bacteria
Description: partial 16S ribosomal RNA
Rfam family: Bacterial small subunit ribosomal RNA
Source: RNAcentral